Molecule: long non-coding RNA, 942 nt
Organism: Alligator mississippiensis (American alligator)
Lineage: Eukaryota; Metazoa; Chordata; Crocodylia; Alligatoridae
Exons: 2
Source: RefSeq, a predicted model, not a curated record
GCAAGAGGAGUUCAGUCACGCCCCUUUCCUGAGGGGAGGGGGAGGAGUUCCCCCCCCCCCUCCAGACCUGAUUGAAGACUGCAACACUCAGGUCGGGAAGACUUCAUGGAUGGAGCCCAGGAGAGUAUAAAAGGAGCUGCGUGCCCAUCAUGAGGGAACACCUCUGGGACAGAGAAGAGCAGUGGCUUAGAAGAGUAGAGGAGAGCUGCUCAGCAGGGCGAAGCAGUAGCCCAGAAGUGCCCCUGAAGACUUCUAUCAGCGGAGAACAGCAGACAGCUCCAGCAGCUCGGCUCUUGGUGUGCAGCAUGGCGCAUGGCGUCCAGACCCUGGGAGCUGCGUGAGGCAGCUCAGGUCUGCAACCUCUGGUGUGCGGCCAGAGACACAGUGCACAGGCCGGUGCAUGGAGUAGGACCUUUGGAGCACUUGGGCAGCUCAGGUCCUCAACCUCUGGAAUGAGGCUGGGAGCUCGGUGCAGGAUGUGCUGCACGGAGGGUCCAGGAGUGAACCGAGCCUGGUGCUGCAUGAGGCAGCGCAGGCCUCCGACCCAUAGCAAAAGGUUGAGUCCAGAGAGCCAGAUGGUGAUCGGGCUACUGAGCCAGCCGACAGGGCCGAGCCAGAGGCCCCAGAAGCCCUGCAUAGAGGAGCCCUGUUCCAGGGGACAGCGACCCCCCCCACCCCCUGAAGCCCACUGCAGGCCAAAUCCUCCUGUUCAGCACUGCAGGGUUCAGUUGCUGGUGGCAGUUUCGCAGCUCUGGGGACUCCGUGUUCUCUGCCACGAGGAGCCAGGGGCAUCCGUGGUUCCUCUCCCUGCACAGGACUGGAUGGAGUCAGGUCAGAGGCAGAGCAGGUUUAAGCUCUGCAUACAUAUACUGAGGGCAAUGGUUAAGAUCCACCGUGGAUACAAUUCCGGAGAGUUAUAAUAAUAAAUGACUGAUAGUUCAA